CAAAAGGCUCUUUUAAGAGCCACCUAUAUUUUCACUGAGAGUUGU
Molecule: regulatory RNA element, 45 nt
Organism: Monodelphis domestica (gray short-tailed opossum)
Lineage: Eukaryota; Metazoa; Chordata; Mammalia; Didelphimorphia; Didelphidae
Rfam family: Histone 3' UTR stem-loop
About the family: The mRNAs of metazoan histone genes lack a poly-A tail. 3' end processing occurs at a site between a highly conserved stem-loop (modelled by this family) and a purine rich region around 20 nts downstream (the histone downstream element, or HDE).
Source: Rfam